UGGUGGAGUGAUUUGUCUGGUUAAUUCCGAUAACGAACGAGAUCGCAUCCUAUUAACUAGUCGCCCUAAUCUUCUACAUGGGUGAAGCUUAUCGGCUUCUGGCAGGCGGGGCAACUCGCUCUGUCAGACUGGUGAGUGGAUCCUUGAUGUAUUGGGGUGUCUUACUUCUUAAAGGGACUGUCGGUGUUUAACCGAAGGAAGUGUGGCAAUAACA
RNAcentral lists this ribosomal RNA (214 nucleotides) under uncultured eukaryote. Its description in RNAcentral is "partial 18S ribosomal RNA". It matches the Rfam family "Eukaryotic small subunit ribosomal RNA", at positions 1299 to 1458 of the family's 1831-position model. The record is from RNAcentral.